GGCUUGGUGGUCUAGUGGCAUGAUUCUCGCUUAGGGUUGUCCUCUGAAUUGCGAGAGGUCCCGGGUUCAAUUCCCGGCCAAGCCC
Rhizophagus irregularis DAOM 181602=DAOM 197198 is the source of this 85-nucleotide non-coding RNA. Lineage: Eukaryota; Fungi; Glomeromycota; Glomeromycetes; Glomerales; Glomeraceae. The record is from the annotation of a RefSeq genome assembly.